RNAcentral lists this ribosomal RNA (1042 nucleotides) under human gut metagenome. RNAcentral's name for it is "bacterial SSU rRNA". It matches the Rfam family "Bacterial small subunit ribosomal RNA", at positions 31 to 1073 of the family's 1533-position model. The record is from RNAcentral.
GAACGCUAGCGACAGGCUUAACACAUGCAAGUCGAGGGGCAUCAUGAGGUAGCAAUACCUUGAUGGCGACCGGCGCACGGGUGAGUAACGCGUAUGCAACCUGCCGAUACCGGGGUAUAGCCCAUGGAAACGUGGAUUAACACCCCAUAGUACUUUUAUCCUGCAUGGGAUGUGAGUUAAAUGUUCAAGGUAUCGGAUGGGCAUGCGUCCUAUUAGUUAGUUGGCGGGGUAACAGCCCACCAAGACGAUGAUAGGUAGGGGUUCUGAGAGGAAGGUCCCCCACAUUGGAACUGAGACACGGUCCAAACUCCUACGGGAGGCAGCAGUGAGGAAUAUUGGUCAAUGGACGAGAGUCUGAACCAGCCAAGUCGCGUGAGGGAAGACUGCCCUAUGGGUUGUAAACCUCUUUUAUAAGGGAAGAAUAAGUUCUACGUGUAGAAUGAUGCCUGUACCUUAUGAAUAAGCAUCGGCUAACUCCGUGCCAGCAGCCGCGGUAAUACGGAGGAUGCGAGCGUUAUCCGGAUUUAUUGGGUUUAAAGGGUGCGUAGGCGGUUUAUUAAGUUAGUGGUUAAAUAUUUGAGCUAAACUCAAUUGUGCCAUUAAUACUGGUAAACUGGAGUACAGACGAGGUAGGCGGAAUAAGUUAAGUAGCGGUGAAAUGCAUAGAUAUAACUUAGAACUCCGAUAGCGAAGGCAGCUUACCAGACUGUAACUGACGCUGAUGCACGAGAGCGUGGGUAGCAAACAGGAUUAGAUACCCUGGUAGUCCACGCCGUAAACGAUGCUCACUGGUUCUGUGCGAUAUAUUGUACGGGAUUAAGCGAAAGUAUUAAGUGAGCCACCUGGGGAGUACGUCGGCAACGAUGAAACUCAAAGGAAUUGACGGGGGCCCGCACAAGCGGAGGAACAUGUGGUUUAAUUCGAUGAUACGCGAGGAACCUUACCUGGGUUUAAAUGGGAAAUGUCGUAUUUGGAAACAGAUAUUCUCUUCGGAGCGUUUUUCAAGGUGCUGCAUGGUUGUCGUCAGCUCGUGCCGUGAGGU